This 23-nucleotide microRNA is filed under the name Ananas comosus (pineapple). RNAcentral's name for it is "microRNA s0336_c11a". Lineage: Eukaryota; Viridiplantae; Streptophyta; Magnoliopsida; Poales; Bromeliaceae. The record is from RNAcentral.
CUCUGCUCUCCCUCUCUAUCUCC